Small nuclear RNA from Aricia agestis (brown argus), 132 nucleotides. RefSeq annotates it as U11 spliceosomal RNA. The transcript has a single exon. Lineage: Eukaryota; Metazoa; Arthropoda; Insecta; Lepidoptera; Lycaenidae. The record is from RefSeq and is a predicted model, not a curated record.
AAAAAGGGUAUUCACCACUUCGAUGGUGCGUGCGCCUCUCGGGGCGCGCGGGGUAUGGCUAUCAAGACAUACCCAAUACGUAAUUUUUAUAUUUACGAGGCUGUUGGCUACCCCUUAUGUACCGGCGCCUCU